UCCCCUGUAGCUCAAUUGGCAGAGCGUUCGGCUGUUAACCGAUAGGUUCCUGGUUCGAGUCCAGGCGGGGGAGCCA
RNAcentral lists this transfer RNA (76 nucleotides) under Mycobacterium sp. Its description in RNAcentral is "tRNA-Asn". It matches the Rfam family "tRNA". From Rfam's summary of the family: Transfer RNA (tRNA) molecules are approximately 80 nucleotides in length. Their secondary structure includes four short double-helical elements and three loops (D, anti-codon, and T loops). Lineage: Bacteria; Bacillati; Actinomycetota; Actinomycetes; Mycobacteriales; Mycobacteriaceae. The record is from RNAcentral. RNAcentral also lists the same sequence under 6 other names.